This 559-nucleotide ribosomal RNA is filed under the name uncultured bacterium. Its description in RNAcentral is "bacterial SSU rRNA". It matches the Rfam family "Bacterial small subunit ribosomal RNA", at positions 102 to 694 of the family's 1533-position model. The record is from RNAcentral.
ACGGGUGAGUAACGCGUAGGAAUGUGUCCAGAGGUGGGGGACAACCCCGGGAAACUGGGGCUAAUACCGCAUAUGUCCUGAGGGACAAAGCAGUAAUGCGCCUUUGGAGCAGCCUGCGUCCGAUUAGGUAGUUGGUGGGGUAAUGGCCUACCAAGCCUGCGAUCGGUAGCUGGUCUGAGAGGAUGAUCAGCCACACUGGGACUGAGACACGGCCCAGACUCCUACGGGAGGCAGCAGUGGGGAAUAUUGGACAAUGGGCGCAAGCCUGAUCCAGCAAUGCCGCGUGGGUGAAGAAGGUCUUCGGAUCGUAAAGCCCUUUCGACAGGGACGAUGAUGACGGUACCUGUAGAAGAAGCCCCGGCUAACUUCGUGCCAGCAGCCGCGGUAAUACGAAGGGGGCUAGCGUUACUCGGAAUUACUGGGCGUAAAGGGCGCGUAGGCGGCUCUGUUAGUCAGGCGUGAAAUUCCUGGGCUUAACCUGGGGACUGCGCUUGAUACUGCAGGGCUUGAGGCCGAGAGAGGGUGGUGGAAUUCCCAGUGUAGAGGUGAAAUUCGUAGA